UAUAUUGAGGUGUAAGAUGCACGAUGAGUUUUGAUCUCUUAAGUUAUGGUUUAAUUCCAUAUUAUAUAA
RNAcentral lists this transfer RNA (69 nucleotides) under Aeschrocoris ceylonicus. Its description in RNAcentral is "tRNA-Gln". Lineage: Eukaryota; Metazoa; Arthropoda; Insecta; Hemiptera; Pentatomidae. The record is from RNAcentral.